Paramormyrops kingsleyae is the source of this 1201-nucleotide long non-coding RNA. RefSeq lists it as uncharacterized. The record is from RefSeq and is a predicted model, not a curated record. Lineage: Eukaryota; Metazoa; Chordata; Actinopteri; Osteoglossiformes; Mormyridae.
CUCCAAACAACAAGAUCAAAAUUUCGUCUUAGCAUGUGACCCAAGGAUCGUAAAGCUGAAGAUGACAAUAAAGAUACUUUGACUACGACUUGACGAGGGAACCGUCACUCUGCGUCAAUCGGGCGUCAACCGGGCGUCAUUAAGGACCACAAUUUACUCAGGCUACACUUCGAGGGAGACAAAAGCCUGAGACAACAACGGAAAUGAGCCUUUAACGUUUAUGACUCACCAAAGUAAUCACACGAGCAUGCACCUUUCAUUUUUGGAAAAUGAAGGCGCUGCUCCAAACGUUUACUCAAAGAAGGCAGAGAAGAUAAAGUGAAGAACUGCGGGAGAUUUAUAACAGAGGAAGAGAAGAGAAAUGAGGUGUUGGAGCUGAUUUAGAGCUUGUGCUGUCGACUAAAUGAGUACAUGGAACACCGGAGAUUGGUGAGUCCUGAUGGCUGUCCUUCUGAGCAGCUCACUCACGCUCAGCAGGGUGUAGACAGAGAGGCCGGCGACGCUUCUGCAGACGACUUCCACUGGAGGGCAGUGUGCUCACCACCCCUGUCUCCGAGAAUCGUCCAGAAGCCCCUGGUACUUGGCCAGCUUCCUCUCAAAAGCUGAAUGUGCCGGGGCUCUGCUGGCCAGGUGUCCAUCAAAGGGAGCCUUUGUUCCAUUGUAUUCUCCCUUCUCAUCCAACCUCCCUGCUGCCUCAUGCCUGCCAUCCUUCUGCUUCUUUCCCCGUCCAUUGCUGCUCUCACCUUCCUGGACAAGCCGCCGCGUCUCCUCGCCCUGGAUCUUGUUGUGUUGACGCGUUGAAAAGCUGCCCAAUCCUGAUCUUCCCAUUGCCACCUGCCCCAACCCCAGCCUUGUUCCUCAGCCUCGCUUCUGCCAUCUGCAGCUCCCUAACCCUGACCCACUCCAUUUCCUGCCGGUCCGGAUCUCAGCGCCUGCGAGACAGUUUGCCGUCCUUGGAGUCCCUGUACUCCAGUGAUUCUCUAGGACGGGAGACCUUCAACUCUUCCGUGACACUGCUCAAAGGAAGCUGCAAAAGGUAACAUGAAUGCGAGAUGUCAGACAAGAGUGGAAUAUUCCCUGGCACCCGGGUGACGACAUGAUAGCAAAAUAAUAUCAGACAUGUUUGUAUAUUUGUAAAAAUCCAAACAAAAUAUCCAUGUUGUUCCUGGUGCGUUAUGAACGAUACAACCAUCAGGCUAGU